GUCUACAGCCAUACCACCCUGAAUGUGUCCAAUCUUAUCUGAUCUUGGAAGCUGAACAGGGUCAGGUCUGGUUAGUACUUUGGUGGGAGUCAAAAAGACUCAACUUGCCAGGCACGCAUACCUGUAAUCC
Marmota marmota marmota (Alpine marmot) is the source of this 130-nucleotide ribosomal RNA. The record is from Ensembl. NCBI's taxonomy places the organism in Eukaryota, Metazoa, Chordata, Mammalia, Rodentia, Sciuridae.